CCUACGGGAGGCAGCAGUGAGGAAUAUUGGUCAAUGGACGAGAGUCUGAACCAGCCAAGUAGCGUGAAGGAUGACUGCCCUAUGGGUUGUAAACUUCUUUUAUCAAGGAGUAAAACGCGGCACGUGUGCCUUUUUGCAUGUACUUUAUGAAUAAGGAUCGGCUAACUCCGUGCCAGCAGCCGCGGUAAUCCGGAGGAUCCGAGCGUUAUCCGGAUUUAUUGGGGUUAAAGGGAGCGUAGAUGGGUUGUUAAGUCAGUUGGGAAAGUUUGCGGCUCAACCGUAAAAUUGCAAUUGAUACUGGCAGUCUGGAGUACAGUUGAGGUAGGCGGAAUGCGUGGUGUAGCGGUGAAAUGCUUAGAUAUCACGAAGAACCCCGAUUGCGAAGGCAGCUUACUAAACUGUGACUGACAUUGAGGCUCGAAAGUGUGGGUAUCAAACAGGAUUAGAUACCCGAGUAGUC
This 460-nucleotide ribosomal RNA is filed under the name uncultured bacterium. RNAcentral describes it as "partial 16S ribosomal RNA". It matches the Rfam family "Bacterial small subunit ribosomal RNA", at positions 338 to 795 of the family's 1533-position model. The record is from RNAcentral.